Molecule: ribosomal RNA, 479 nt
Filed under: uncultured bacterium
Lineage: Bacteria
Description: partial 16S ribosomal RNA
Rfam family: Bacterial small subunit ribosomal RNA
Source: RNAcentral
GAUGAACGCUAGCGGGAGGCCUAACACAUGCAAGCCGAGCGGUAUUGUUUCUUCGGAAAUGAGAGAGCGGCGUACGGGUGCGUAACACGUGUGCAACCUGCCUUUAUCUGGGGGAUAGCCUUUCGAAAGGAAGAUUAAUACUCCAUAAUAUAUUGAACGGCAUCGUUUAAUAUUGAAAGCUCCGGCGGAUAGAGAUGGGCACGCGCAAGAUUAGCUAGUUGGUGAGGUAACGGCUCACCAAGGCGAUGAUCUUUAGGGGGCCUGAGAGGGUGAUCCCCCACACUGGUACUGAGACACGGACCAGACUCCUACGGGAGGCAGCAGUGAGGAAUAUUGAUCAAUGGGUGCAAGCCUGAACCAGCCAUCCCGCGUGAAGGACGACUGCCCUAUGGGUUGUAAACUUCUUUUGUAUAGGGAUAAACCUACCCUCGUGAGGGUAGCUGAAGGUACUAUACGAAUAAGCACCGGCUAACUCCGUG